RNAcentral lists this ribosomal RNA (250 nucleotides) under uncultured Chroococcidiopsis sp. Its description in RNAcentral is "partial 16S ribosomal RNA". It matches the Rfam family "Bacterial small subunit ribosomal RNA", at positions 796 to 1044 of the family's 1533-position model. The record is from RNAcentral. Lineage: Bacteria; Bacillati; Cyanobacteriota; Cyanophyceae; Chroococcidiopsidales; Chroococcidiopsidaceae.
CUAGCUGUAAACGAUGGAUACUAGGCGUUGAGAGUAUCGACCCUCUCAGUGUCGUUGCUAACGCGUUAAGUAUCCCGCCUGGGGAGUACGCGCGCAAGCGUGAAACUCAAAGGAAUUGACGGGGGCCCGCACAAGCGGUGGAGUAUGUGGUUUAAUUCGAUGCAACGCGAAGAACCUUACCAGGGCUUGACAUGUCCGGAACCCUGCCCAAAGGCGGGGGUGCCUACGGGAACCGGAACACAGGUGGUGC